This 271-nucleotide unclassified non-coding RNA is filed under the name uncultured fungus. Its description in RNAcentral is "sequence contains ITS1". Lineage: Eukaryota; Fungi. The record is from RNAcentral.
GAACUCGAUGCGUGCUCUCGAAAGAAGCUCAUUGCACCAAGGGUCCCAGCGGGAGCCGUCAUUGCCUUUGAGGCCAGUUGGUCGUCGCCAACCAACGUGGGCCCAACACCAAACCCGAGGUUUGAGGGGGGAUAAUGACGCUCGAACAGGCAUGCCCUUCGGAAUGCCAAAGGGCGCAAUGUGCGUUCAAAGAUUCGAUGACUCACGGAAAUUCUGCAAUUCGCAUUACUUAUCGCAUUUCGCUGCGUUCUUCAUCGAUGCUCGGAAUGUC